Molecule: long non-coding RNA, 2229 nt
Organism: Formica exsecta
Lineage: Eukaryota; Metazoa; Arthropoda; Insecta; Hymenoptera; Formicidae
Exons: 2
Source: RefSeq, a predicted model, not a curated record
UCGACGAGUUGUAGAAUAAUCUCGUAUGCAUCGAGAGCGGUGAUAUCGUUGCUCACGAUAAUGCCUAUGUACGACGCAAUAACGAGCAGCAAUAAACGACGAUUAAACGGUGUCCGGCGAGUGGACGUGAAUAUAGUAUCAUGACAGUCCGGACACGACCUUCGUUUACGCAUUGAGCAGAUAACCGAUUUUUUGCAGCUUCCGAUAAACUCAAUCUGCAAACUCGUCCGUAUUAAAAACAACGUAGUUUCCGCGGUGACGAUCAGCAUCAGCAAAACUCCCACCAGAUUGCACGUGAUUUGCAAUAAAUACCACAAUCUUCUGACUACGUUGAUAUAAUCGUGGCUGAAUAGGAUUCCAGGAUUGUAUACGAAGAUGUCGUUCCGAUUGCUAAUUCUAUUGCUUCUGAUGUACUGUUGUCACUUUAUUUCUGGUACCAAGAGAAUGAGAGUAGGUGGAAAAUCUUAUGCGGUGUCGGCAUACCCCGAAGAUUGCACUAAAUACGUGAUGUGUAGUAACGGCAAAUGCAAGCUGGAGGCAUGCGAGCCCACCUACGUUUUCGACCCGGUCACCUCUACCUGCAGCCAUCGACGCAGAACUGUCAACUGCGACUUCAACCUUCCGCGUAGACUGUAAAUCGCGAUGCUGAAAUCGGCAUAAAAGUCUCUCGUAUGAUAAUGUUUCCUAAAGAGGCUCAAUAAAACGGCGCAUAUAAAAUAGCAUAUCUCGUUCAUUUGUACUGUUCGUGCCGGUUCCUUUAUAAGACCAGCUUGUGUGUGUAAUAAUCAUCAACGAGCGCCAGAAGUUUGUUCGCUCGUCGAUGGGCAAAUAACUUUGUUUGCAGUCGCUCGUUUAUUGCGUCGACUCAUAUACGCAUGUCGGCAUUCUUUUUAUUUUACGUGCGUGAACAGAAGUUAUCUGGGUAUUUUAUCUUUUUCUCACCAUUCUUUAUUAUCUAUAUCUUUUGCAUUCUGUUCUCGUUUUUCUCCGCUGUCGCAUACGCCGAACUCAAAUGAACCUCGACCUCUUAAACUGAUAACCCUCUAGUUUCCAUGAAUCAGACUGCUUGUUUUCAAAGGCUAUCUGCUUCUGAGUAAAACGGCGCCGAUCAGUAAUCGAACUACACGAUUUUACAAGGAGCCGAGGAUCAGUAUAGUACGAUGCUCGGUGUAUCGUGGAAGCAUCGAAAAUGACGCUGUACUUGAAGCGUUUUCUCGUCGCGCUCUGCCUCGUCUAUUUUGCCGUUUUUUCUUCCGCGGUAUGUGAUAGAAUCGUUGUGGCUCUUAGUGAUACACGCAGUCGCUUUAUUUUCCAUUUUUUUUACUCAAAACUGUUUGAAAAUGUGAUCUGAAUGUGGAUUAGACUGACUAAAAUUGGGCUAUAAGAAAAGACGAAAAUAUUUGAUGUUUCAAUAGAUAUUAAUGUCAUUAUAACGAAACAAUACGAAUUCGCAGUGCAAAAAUUUAUGCUAGUUUUAUUAUGUCUUUAAGAGGAAUAACGAAUAAAUUUCUAUUACUUUUGAAAUGAUAGAUUUUCAUAAAAAUUGGGAUACACAUGCUUAAUUUUUCACCGAGAUAAUAACACGUAAUAUGACAUUAACGAGUCGAGUUCAAAAAUAUUUUAUUUGCAUUGAUUAAUGGCGCGUUAUAUAAAGACAUGUGUAAAACGUAAUGUAAAUUCGCAAUCAAGUCUCAGGAACGUAUAAUUUAUUUGAUUAAAAUUGAACAUGUGUCAUGAAUAUAUCUUUUCUUAAUUUUUAUUUAUUACACGUCAUAGUGCUAUAAUGCAAGUGCUAUAGUGCAAUAUAAACAUUUAAUUCUUUUUAUGUUCAUUUGAAUUUAUGCACGUAUACAUAUUUUUUUUAAUAUAAUGCCGUUUUCCUGAUACGCGCACACAAUGUACAAUGAUUUUAGUUUAACUACGUUUUCAAACGAUAUCUAUUUAAAUACAUAUAACAAUACCAUAUAAAUUGUUUACAUUUUAAUGUUUAAAGUGCGAUAUGUGCUCAUACUUUUACUGAUAACAGUUAAAUGAAACGAAAAGCAUACAUAAUUAUAUAAUAUUAAUAAAUUGUUAAAUAUAUUUUAUUUAUUCAUUUGUAUAUUCUAUGUUCUAUGUCUCUAUGUAAUUGGUUGUACCAAGUGUACAAUGACUUCGCUUAGCCUCGAAUAAACUUAUAUAAAUAAAACAAAUAUACAAUUAUAAUAAAUUAUAUAUAUAUAUAAAUUU